Molecule: non-coding RNA, 433 nt
Organism: Odocoileus virginianus texanus
Lineage: Eukaryota; Metazoa; Chordata; Mammalia; Artiodactyla; Cervidae
Source: RefSeq, a predicted model, not a curated record
CUUAAUUCCUUCAGAGCAGUUUUAGGUUCACAGCAAAAUUGAGGGGAAGGUACAGAGAUUUCCCAUAUAUUCUCUGUCCCCACACAUACACAGCCUCCUUCAUUGUCAACAUCACCACCAGAGUGGGGACAUUUGUUACAGCUGAUAAACCCACACUGACACAUCAUAAUCACCCAAAGUCCCUUAUGGUUAAUGGUUAACAUUAUGGUUCACUCACUGUGCUGUCCAUUCUGUGGGUUUAGACACAUGUAUAAUGACAUGUAUCCAUCAUUAUGACACAGCUUCAAACUCACUAUCACAACUGUGAUACCAGGUUUCCAGACCCUUCAGCCAGGUGACAACUGCCUCAGUGUAAAAUGUUGACAACAGACCACCACACAUGCAGCAUUUGGUACUAUUGAGAAGGCCUGCUUCCUGCCCUAGGGUACUCAGG